GCCUGAGUGGCUCAGUGGUUGAGUAUCUGCCUUCUGCUCAGGGGGUGAUCUUGGGGUCCUGGGUUGGAGUCCCAAAUCAGGCU
RNAcentral lists this transfer RNA (83 nucleotides) under Canis lupus familiaris (dog). It matches the Rfam family "tRNA". Rfam says of the family: Transfer RNA (tRNA) molecules are approximately 80 nucleotides in length. Their secondary structure includes four short double-helical elements and three loops (D, anti-codon, and T loops). The record is from Rfam by way of RNAcentral. Lineage: Eukaryota; Metazoa; Chordata; Mammalia; Carnivora; Canidae. RNAcentral also lists the same sequence under 1 other name.